Molecule: ribosomal RNA, 212 nt
Filed under: uncultured bacterium
Lineage: Bacteria
Description: partial 16S ribosomal RNA
Rfam family: Bacterial small subunit ribosomal RNA
Source: RNAcentral
AAGCAGUCUCAGUUCGGAUUGAAGGCUGAAAUUCGCCUUCAUGAAGCCGGAAUUGCUAGUAAUGGCAGGUCAGCAUACUGCCGUGAAUACGUUCCCGGGCCUUGUACACACCGCCCGUCACACCAUGAGAGUUGGGGGUGCCUGAAGUUCGUGACCGCAAGGAGCGACCUAGGGCAAAACUAAUGACUGGGGCUAAGUCGUAACAAGGUACC